Molecule: ribosomal RNA, 600 nt
Filed under: Symmetrospora coprosmae
Lineage: Eukaryota; Fungi; Basidiomycota; Cystobasidiomycetes; Symmetrosporaceae
Description: eukaryotic LSU rRNA
Rfam family: Eukaryotic large subunit ribosomal RNA
Source: RNAcentral
UAGUACGGCGAGUGAGUGGGAAAAGCUCAACUUUAAAAUCUGGCAGCUUCGCUGUCCGAGUUGUAGUCUCGAGAAGUGUUUUCCGCGCUGGAUCGUGUAUGAGUCUGUUGGAAUACAGCGUCACAGAGGGUGAGAACCCCGUUCAUGACACGACUACCAGUGCUUUGUGAUACACUUUCGAUGAGUCGAGUUGUUUGGGAAUGCAGCUCAAAAUGGGUGGUAAAUUCCAUCUAAAGCUAAAUAUUGGCGAGAGACCGAUAGCAAACAAGUACCGUGAGGGAAAGAUGAAAAGCACUUUGGAAAGAGAGUUAACAGUACGUGAAAUUGUCGAAAGGGAAACGCUUGAAGUCAGACGUGCGCGGUGCGAUUCAGCCUUGGUUCGCCAGGGUGUACUUCGUACCAUUGCAGGCCAGCAUCGGUUUUGUGAGCCGGAUAAAGGUUAGAGGAAGGUAGCGGUCCAGGCCGUGUUAUAGCCUCUAACUGAAUACGGAUUGUGAGACCGAGGGACGCAGCGCGCCGCAAGGCAAAGGGUCCGCCCUUUUCGCGCUUAGGAUGCUGGUGAAAUGGCUUUAAACGACCCGUCUUGAACACGGACCAAAA